Molecule: ribosomal RNA, 497 nt
Filed under: uncultured bacterium
Lineage: Bacteria
Description: partial 16S ribosomal RNA
Rfam family: Bacterial small subunit ribosomal RNA
Source: RNAcentral
GAUGAACGCUGGCGGCGUGCCUAAUACAUGCAAGUCGAGCGAACAGACGAGGAGCUUGCUCCUCUGACGUUAGCGGCGGACGGGUGAGUAACACGUGGAUAACCUACCUAUAAGACUGGGAUAACUUCGGGAAACCGGAGCUAAUACCGGAUAAUAUAUUGAACCGCAUGGUUCAAUAGUGAAAGACGGUUUUGCUGUCACCUAUAGAUGGAUCCGCGCCGCAUUAGCUAGUUGGUAAGGUAACGGCUUACCAAGGCAACGAUGCGUAGCCGACCUGAGAGGGUGAUCGGACACACUGGAACUGAGACACGGUCCAGACUCCUACGGGAGGCAGCAGUAGGGAAUCUUCCGCAAUGGGCGAAAGCCUGACGGAGCAACGCCGCGUGAGUGAUGAAGGUCUUCGGAUCGUAAAACUCUGUUAUUAGGGAAGAACAAAUGUGUAAGUAACUAUGCACGUCUUGACGGUACCUAAUCAGAAAGCCACGGCUAACUACGUG